CGACUCCGUCAGCACAACGAGACCUUAACCUGCUAUUUAGUCUCGGCGAUUCCGUCCCCGCGACUUCAUAGAGGGACUCUGCGGCGUCAAGCUGCGGUGAGGUUUAAGGCAAUAACAGGUCUGUGAUGCCCUUAGAUGUCCUGGGCUGCACGCGCGCUACACUGAUGCUUGCCUCGUGUUUACCCUCGGCCGACAGGCCCUGGUAACCCCUAGUCUGCAUCGUGUUUGGGAUUGAUCUUUGCAAUUCUAGAUCAUGAACGAGGAAUGCCUAGUAUGCGCAAGUCAUCAGCUUGUGCAGAUUACGUCCCUGCCCUUUGUACACAG
Molecule: ribosomal RNA, 324 nt
Filed under: Babesia bovis
Lineage: Eukaryota; Apicomplexa; Aconoidasida; Piroplasmida; Babesiidae
Description: SSU rRNA
Rfam family: Eukaryotic small subunit ribosomal RNA
Source: RNAcentral